RNAcentral lists this ribosomal RNA (498 nucleotides) under uncultured bacterium. RNAcentral's name for it is "partial 16S ribosomal RNA". It matches the Rfam family "Bacterial small subunit ribosomal RNA", at positions 30 to 523 of the family's 1533-position model. The record is from RNAcentral.
AUUGAACGCUGGCGGCAUGCCUUACACAUGCAAGUCGAACGGCAGCACGGGGCAACCUGGUGGCGAGUGGCGAACGGGUGAGUAAUGCAUCGGAACGUACCUUUCAGUGGGGGAUAACGUAGCGAAAGUUACGCUAAUACCGCAUAUUCUGUGAGCAGGAAAGCAGGGGAUCGCAAGACCUUGCGCUGAUUGAGCGGCCGAUGUCAGAUUAGCGAGUUGGUGAGGUAAAGGCUCACCAAGGCGACGAUCUGUAGCGGGUCUGAGAGGAUGAUCCGCCACACUGGAACUGAGACACGGUCCAGACUCCUACGGGAGGCAGCAGUGGGGAAUUUUGGACAAUGGGGGCAACCCUGAUCCAGCCAUGCCGCGUGAGUGGAGAAGGCCUUCGGGUUGUAAAGCUCUUUCGGCCGGGAAGAAAUCGCACGGGCUAAUACCCUGUGUGGAUGACGGUACCGGAAUAAGAAGCACCGGCUAACUACGUGCCAGCCGCCGCGGUAA